Cucurbita maxima (winter squash) is the source of this 259-nucleotide long non-coding RNA. RefSeq lists it as uncharacterized. Lineage: Eukaryota; Viridiplantae; Streptophyta; Magnoliopsida; Cucurbitales; Cucurbitaceae. The transcript is spliced from 3 exons. The record is from RefSeq and is a predicted model, not a curated record.
UCAUUCUCUCGACAAUGGCUAAACUAUUAGUUCUUCAUCUCUGUUUCGUUCUCAUUGCUUCCUCUUCUCUGUUUCAUGUCGGAACUUCCAUAACUCACAAAUCUCAAGACGGAUCUGAAGAAUGGGGCUACGUUCAAGUCAGACCCAAAGCCCAUAUGUUUUGGUGGCUUUACAGAAGCCCUUCCAGAGUGGACGUCGGUUCCAAGCCAUGGUCGACCAUUCUCUGGUUGCAGGGCGGACCGGGUGGCUCAGGAACUAG